GCACGCCCUAGGGACAGACAGACAUCACCUCAUUCUGAUGCCCCACACACAGCCUUCCUAGGCAGAAAAACGUACCAUGAGCAAGCACAGGCUGCUCCCUCUGUGGGCAGAGACAGGCACCAUCCUUCAAGAGGUAUGAGCACUGAUGGAGGAUAUCAAUUUCAGUGGUAUCAGUAGGAAGAAAAAUACAGUCGAAUGUACAAUAUCAAGUAUCUUCUGUGGAGGACUUCUUGCUCCAGAAAGAAAGUGGAGGAUAUGACCAUCUCUUUUGGACCUUGUUCUGACCAACAGGGAACAAUUCAUAGAAUGAUAGCACCGUAGAAAAGUAGGUGUAGAAGAGGCCUCAGGAUGUCAUCUAAUUUUACCUGCUGCUCAGGAUCUCAACCAUAUCGGCCAGGACAUCUCCUGCCACUGCUGGUUGUUCCAAGUCAUCAGGGUGAUUUGCUCUCAUCAGUCCAAGCUGCUGUCGUGGGCCCACACCAUGCGGAUGCUGGUCCUCCUCAGGUUUCUCAACAGUGCCCAGCCAUCCUCCACUUCUUCACUUCCCUCUGGGUAUUCUACAUCCUCUGGGUAUCUGGAUCUUCUUUUUAUCGCUAUUAUUCUUGCUGUUAAAGCAGUAACACACCUUGCCAUUGAAUAGUCUGUCAUCAUUCUUAUACAUAUCAAGUGGUGCAGCCGAGAUGCCCAGGUAAGCAGCAUUUGCAGAAGCAGUACUGCCUUCUCCUCCUGCUCACCCAUGUCCUCCAUAUUCUCCAUGUUGGAGGACUCUUCACUGCAUUGUUCUCCAUUGUCAUGCAUUUCAUCUUCAGUCUCCACUUUGCCUCUUUCCGUCAGCAGCAGCGGCUUCUCACCUGUCUGCACCAAAUGUGGGGCAGGGACUGUAGGGAGUUGUGUGGCCUGGAGCUGUGCCUCUCCUGUCCACAUGCUCUGUGCUUCCCCCUCCCUCCAGGGUGCUGGCUGCUCUCUGUUCCCCUGCCACUUCCCCUGACUGACCUGAUUUCUAUGGUUGCUGCUGCUGUAGCAGAAAGCCCCCUUUUCCUCCUGCCUGCAUUUGCUCUCCCCUCUUUGGAUAUGUUUCUCUUUUUCUACCUUUUCUUCCUUCUUCUCUCUUUCACUUUAAGAUUUUAAAAUUUGUAUGUGUGCAUUUUGUAUCUCCCCUUGUAGUUUGGUAUUUUUAUCUAUUUGUGUGCCAUGGCAUUUGUAGUUUAUAUUUUAUACUCUUCACCUUUCAACUUUCAACUGAAUAGGUUUAGUUUCAUAAGUAAAUUAUACAUUGUAACAAUGUUAACAAGAGCAGGAAUCAAAUUGCCCUUCCCUGUAUUAGGCUGGCCUCUGAAAGAGCGAGUGAAUCAGUGAUUGAAUGUGUAACAUAGUAGCAGGCAGCAAGUAUCACCUGGAAGCUGCAGAUCAACCAAGGGAAGAACUCAAUAGAAGACAAUGUAACAACCGGGAAAUAUCUAAACGUCACUGAUCAAGGGCUAGAAGCCCUGGCCUGAGUUAAUCAACGCCAGAGACCAACUUUUGGGCUGAAUAUCUCCAGUUCGACCACUCCCAAAGCCCUAUUCUAAAUUCAUCAACGGACUCCCAAACCUGCACGUACAUGCGGACGACCCCUGGGGCUGACAGAUGCUGUCCAGUAGCCACCGAGGGGGGAGAAGUCCCACGAGGGUCAAUGACCCCUGGAUUGGGCAAACCUGAAAACUGGGGAGUCACCAAAGUCUGCCAGGGACAGAUAAAAGGCAGUGAAAAGUGCCCCUCAGUGGCGCCCUCUUGAUCUCCAACUUAACCAGCACCCAACCUGUCCAGCCAGAAGGACCAGCCAGCGACCCCCUUCUGGAAGAUAACACCACGGUGAAAGAAGCCUCAACAACAGACUCCAGCGCUUGUAGGAUAGGUAUACCUGACUCUGUAGCCUACUACUGUGUGUGUUCAUGUGUGUGUGUGUGUGUGUGUGUGUGGGGACCAGCCCCAAGGUUUAUGAUUACAGUGUUUCAAUCUGCCUAAUAAACUAGAAUUUUAAGGA
Alligator mississippiensis (American alligator) is the source of this 2023-nucleotide long non-coding RNA. RefSeq lists it as uncharacterized. The transcript has 3 exons. NCBI's taxonomy places the organism in Eukaryota, Metazoa, Chordata, Crocodylia, Alligatoridae. The record is from RefSeq and is a predicted model, not a curated record.